Molecule: non-coding RNA, 46 nt
Filed under: Trypanosoma brucei brucei
Lineage: Eukaryota; Euglenozoa; Kinetoplastea; Trypanosomatida; Trypanosomatidae
Source: RNAcentral
AUAUAAUAUAACUGAUGGUACGAGAGAUUGAUUUGUAAGUGAUAAU